AGUGAACGCUGGCGGUAGGCCUAACACAUGCAAGUCGAACGGCAGCACAGUAAGAGCUUGCUCUUACGGGUGGCGAGUGGCGGACGGGUGAGGAAUACAUCGGAAUCUACUUUUUCGUGGGGGAUAACGUAGGGAAACUUACGCUAAUACCGCAUACGACCUACGGGUGAAAGCAGGGGAUCUUCGGACCUUGCGCGAUUGAAUGAGCCGAUGUUGGAGUAGCUAGUUGGCGGGGUAAAGGCCCACCAAGGCGACGAUCCGUAGCUGGUCUGAGAGGAUGAACAGCCACACUGGAACUGAGACACGGUCCAGACUCCUACGGGAGGCAGCAGUGGGGAAUAUUGGACAAUGGGCGCAAGCCUGAUCCAGCCAUACCGCGUGGGUGAAGAAGGCCUUCGGGUUGUAAAGCCCUUUUGUUGGGAAAGAAAAGCAGCAGGUUAAUACCCCGCUGUUCUGACGGUACCCAAAGAAUAAGCACCGGCUAACUUCGUG
This 492-nucleotide ribosomal RNA is filed under the name uncultured bacterium. Its description in RNAcentral is "partial 16S ribosomal RNA". It matches the Rfam family "Bacterial small subunit ribosomal RNA", at positions 29 to 507 of the family's 1533-position model. The record is from RNAcentral.